Molecule: long non-coding RNA, 1868 nt
Organism: Stegostoma tigrinum
Lineage: Eukaryota; Metazoa; Chordata; Chondrichthyes; Orectolobiformes; Stegostomatidae
Exons: 3
Source: RefSeq, a predicted model, not a curated record
GAGCAGUGGAGGUAGGACUGAACAGAGUUAGCAUUAUCUUCAUUUAACAAUACCAAUGAAAACUCCACUGUGUUCUAAUUUGAAGAGAGACUCCAGAGAGCCACGGAUAUCUGGAUUAAUAUAUGCGGGAAAGGAAACUUUUUGAAAGCAUUCCAAGUUACUACACUUGUCCACAAGCUGUAAAUAGAAUUGAUGAGAAGGAAGCGCUUAGCGAUCUGAUUUUGUUUGGAUUGCAAUUUUUCCCAAAUGUAACAUCAAGGGAAAGAAAGACAAAAAGAAUUACACUUUCAGAAUGCGCCAUUCAAGGAGUGAAGAAGGGGAUAAAACUGGGACCAAACUGUUUGGGAAUUGGUAGCACAUGACAGGAGUCAGGAGGGGUUAACCAGACAGCGAAAGGCAUGCCAAUAUUCUGAAUGCCAUAGAUGAGGCAACGCUGGGUUUUAUAGAAAGGACAUCGCUGAGACCUUGACCGCAGACAAGGAUCGAUGACUUGAUGUUGAUGGGUAUUCUCGGAAUGAAAGUUCCUUCUUAUAUUCCCCCUUCCUCCUCACCCCUCACUCUCUUCUGACUUAUGAUGUGGUUUGAUUUAUUUAUUGUCAUGUGUAUCUUGGUACAAAAAUGCAGUGAUAAGGGCUAUAGAGUGUCACCACUCUCCAACAUCAUCUUAAAACACAGAAAAAAAGAACAAAACAUAAGAGUAUAAAGGCAGAAAAGUGACAAAAUGAAGUAAGUGUCCAACUUUACAGUCCUUCUUGUUAAGUGCUUCACCAAGGGCCAGGGUCGGCCCCUGGAACGAAAGUUGCCACCUUGCCUCCACCAACACCCUUGCCACAAUGAGUCCUCGCUGGACCUUGACUAUGCAGAUUCCACUGAUGCUGCCCAGUACCAUACCAACCCAAAUUUGACUCCACUUCUGCCAUGAGCCUGCUUUGGGCCCACCUUGCCAAUGCAUCCACCACUGAUAGUGCCAGGUCUCGCGCUGGAUCCAAACUCACCUCAGCCACCACCUCCUUGAAUCUGCGCUGGAUGCAGCAGCACCAGCAACACAAAUUCACCUCCGCCGCAACACCCAUGGAGCCGGCACUGGGCCUGCCUCGACAAUGCAGAAGCCAGCGGGAACCUGAACCCACCUCUGACAUCACUGUCACAAGCUCGUGCUGCUGGGCCCAUGCCAUUGACGCAACCAAGCUCUUUGCCAAGAGUUAAGCAAACUAAGGAGAAAAAACAAAGCAAGAAAGAAAAACAAGAAAAGAAAGGAAAAGUAGAUGCAAUAUCUUUCCGGAAUGACAUACAGAUGGCGAAUGCAGUUACUACAACAAGGCUUGGACAGCUUCAGGAGGAAAUCAAGUGACUCCACACCACUCAUUGUGGCCAGGGGGACCAGGAGUGCUUCUUCCACACACCCCACCUCCAAACUCACCCACUAUCAGGUGACCCUGCGUCCACAUACUAACUCUUCAGGCUGGAUGUAUCCUGGGUGAAAGUUUACCCUCCCCUACUCCUCCAUCCCAUCCACUACCUCACUUCCUGAGGUCAAGGGAUCAGACAUACCUGGGAUUCUCCUGAACCCUCUCCCUAAGCUUUCUAUCGACUGGAAACCAAAACUCUCUUUCAGUCUAAAUUUAAGGCAAGGAAUGUAUUGGGGCUAAAAAUUGCACACUGUGAAGUAAAAACUGCAUGACGGACAGGCAGAAAACAGACUCCUUCGUUCCAGGUUUUCACCCCUUGUCCAGUUGAGCAUAGUUAAGAGAAUUCCUGGCUUGCAAAUCCAAUCUUUACAAAUAGCUGCCCAAACUUACAAUUUUUGGACCAGAGAAAUGCAUAAGACAGGGUGAGCUAUGGAGACUGCCAAGUGUGGAGGUAGACUG